Molecule: ribosomal RNA, 396 nt
Filed under: Theileria sp. OT3
Lineage: Eukaryota; Apicomplexa; Aconoidasida; Piroplasmida; Theileriidae
Description: SSU rRNA
Rfam family: Eukaryotic small subunit ribosomal RNA
Source: RNAcentral
UUGUAAUUGGAAUGAUGGGAAUUUAAACCUCUUCCAGAGUAUCUUCCUGGAGGGCAAGUCUGGUGCCAGCAGCCGCGGUAAUUCCAGCUCCACUAGCGUAUAUUAAAAUUGUUGCAGUUAAAAAGCUCGUAGUUGAAUUUCUGCUGUAUUGCAUUUUCUCUUUUUAUAUGAGUUUUUGCAUUAUGGCUUAUUUCAGUAUUAAUUUUUUAUUAUUACUGAAUGUUUACUUUGAGAAAAUUAGAGUGCUCAAAGCAGGCUUUUGCCUUGAAUAGUUUAGCAUGGAAUAAUAAAGUAGGACUUUGGUUCUAUUUUGUUGGUUUUAGGUACCAAAGUAAUGGUUAAUAGGAACAGUUGGGGGCAUUCGUAUUUAACUGUCAGAAGGUGGAAUUCUUAGAC